RNAcentral lists this long non-coding RNA (665 nucleotides) under Numida meleagris (helmeted guineafowl). RNAcentral describes it as "lncRNA (ENSNMEG00000014438.1)". The record is from RNAcentral. Lineage: Eukaryota; Metazoa; Chordata; Aves; Galliformes; Numididae.
UAAAAGUCAAGUGCUCAAGAAGUAUUAAUAGAAGAUUUGAGAGAGGAAGACAGCUCUGGAGAAAGCAAAUGUACAGGCUAGUGUUGACUGAGAAAUCAGGUCAUCCAACACCUAAUCAGGAUCAGGGAUGCUAGCUGAUUCAGAAACCAAGGAAAGCUCAUGUCCACCAGGGGGAGAAAAGUGCCAUCGAGGGCUUGUGCCAGGCUUAGCAACAGCAGAAAUUUUCAAGAAGGGCAAAAGACAUUUCAGAAGGACUAAAGAUAGGAGCUGUUGGUAAGAAGAACUGGGUGUUUCUGCAUCCCUUAUUUCUGUGUCAGCAGAAAGCUCCCAGAGAAGAGACCGGAUUGAGUUUUGUGGCUGACGCACUCGAUCAGCAAACAAACCUAGUUGAACAGUAGCACGGAUGAUGGCUGACCAUGCCUCCUGUACUCCCAGUGCCACCAUCAACAGGUAGGUGACCUCCAACCUCUGGCUGUCAUCAAACAGGUCAGGCAGCAGCUCAAAAUAUUGACUUAAGACAGCAUUGGGGCAAUAUUUGCUUUUUUGGUUAUCUCAUGCCUGUGGUUGAUCAGUAUGUGUGAGAGAGGCUCCUGGGGUGCAGGAGGAGUUAGAGGGGUGGCAGCCUGGAGCGCUGCCACCAGCAGUGCCUGGGGCUGGGCAUGCUG